GCGGAUGUAGUUUAAUGGUAAAAUCUCUGCCUUCCAAGCAGAUGUUUCGAGUUCGAUUCUCGAUAUCCGCUCCA
RNAcentral lists this transfer RNA (74 nucleotides) under Caudoviricetes sp. RNAcentral describes it as "tRNA-Gly". It matches the Rfam family "tRNA". From Rfam's summary of the family: Transfer RNA (tRNA) molecules are approximately 80 nucleotides in length. Their secondary structure includes four short double-helical elements and three loops (D, anti-codon, and T loops). The record is from RNAcentral. Lineage: Duplodnaviria; Heunggongvirae; Uroviricota; Caudoviricetes.